This 253-nucleotide ribosomal RNA is filed under the name uncultured bacterium. RNAcentral describes it as "partial 16S ribosomal RNA". It matches the Rfam family "Bacterial small subunit ribosomal RNA", at positions 524 to 775 of the family's 1533-position model. The record is from RNAcentral.
UACGAAGGGGGCUAGCGUUGCUCGGAAUUACUGGGCGUAAAGCGCACGUAGGCGGAUUGUUAAGUCGGGGGUGAAAUCCUGGAGCUCAACUCCAGAACUGCCUUCGAUACUGGCGACUCGUCAGUCCGGGAGAGGUGAGUGGAACUGCGAGUGUAGAGGUGAAAUUCGUAGAUAUUCGCAAGAACACCAGUGGCGAAGGCGGCUCACUGGCCCGAUACUGACGCUGAGGUGCGAAAGCGUGGGGAGCAACAGG